UGGCAUUUCAAUGUCAAUGCUAUCCAGCACUCAGUGACUAUCUCUCAGUUCAUUGUAUAAUCAUACGCACACAAGCAUCUGACACGGCAAAACAUAAUCUCGUACGAAAAAGGCUCAUGAUCAUUCAAUGAAAAAGUGUAUUUAUCAUUAAGGGAAAACCCAUUAAAAAUAAGCAACUCGUAAUCAUCAUGAUCAUGGGCAUGAUAAUUGUGGAUGGAAG
RNAcentral lists this unclassified non-coding RNA (220 nucleotides) under Hevea brasiliensis (rubber tree). The record is from RNAcentral. Lineage: Eukaryota; Viridiplantae; Streptophyta; Magnoliopsida; Malpighiales; Euphorbiaceae.